RNAcentral lists this ribosomal RNA (663 nucleotides) under uncultured bacterium. RNAcentral's name for it is "bacterial SSU rRNA". It matches the Rfam family "Bacterial small subunit ribosomal RNA", at positions 1 to 688 of the family's 1533-position model. The record is from RNAcentral.
UAGAGUUUGAUCCUGGCUCAGGAUGAACGCUGGCGGCGUGCUUAACACAUGCAAGUCGAACGGAGAAGGAGGAGCUUGCUCCUCUGGAUUAGUGGCGAACGGGUGAGUAACACGUGAGUAACCUGCCCUUUACUUUGGGAUAGCCUCGUGAAAACGGGAUUAAUACCGAAUACUUUCCUUAGAAGGCAUCUUCUUUGGAAGAAAGCUCCGGCGGUAAAGGAUGGACUCGCGGCUUAUCAGCUUGUUGGUGAGGUAACGGCUCACCAAGGCUAUGACGAGUAUCCGGCCUAAGAGGGUGAACGGACACAUUGGGACUGAGAUACGGCCCAGACUCCUACGGGAGGCAGCAGUGGGGAAUAUUGCACAAUGGGCGCAAGCCUGAUGCAGCGACGCCGCGUGAUCGAUGAAGGCUUUCGGGUUGUAAAGAUCUGUCGUGUAUUAGUAAAUUGAACAGUACACAAGAAAGGACCGGCUAACUACGUGCCAGCAGCCGCGGUAAUACGUAGGGUCCAAGCGUUAUCCGGAAUUAUUGGGCGUAAAGAGCUCGUAGGCGGCUUAUCGCGUCUGAUGUGAAAUCUCUCGGCUUAACCGGGAGCUUGCAUCGGGUACGGUAAGCUAGAGUAUGGUAGGGGAGACUGUAUUUCCUGGUGUAGCGGUGAAAUG